UUUAUGGAGAGUUUGAUCCUGGCUCAGGAUGAACGCUGGCGGCGUGCCUAAUACAUGCAAGUCGAGCGAACAGAUAAGGAGCUUGCUCCUUUGACGUUAGCGGCGGACGGGUGAGUAACACGUGGGUAACCUACCUAUAAGACUGGAAUAACUCCGGGAAACCGGGGCUAAUGCCGGAUAACAUGUUGAACCGCAUGGUUCUACAGUGAAAGACGGUCUUGCUGUCACUUAUAGAUGGACCCGCGCCGUAUUAGCUAGUUGGUGGGGUAACGGCCUACCAAGGCGACGAUACGUAGCCGACCUGAGAGGGUGAUCGGCCACACUGGAACUGAGACACGGUCCAGACUCCUACGGGAGGCAGCAGUAGGGAAUCUUCCGCAAUGGGCGAAAGCCUGACGGAGCAACGCCGCGUGAGUGAUGAAGGUCUUCGGAUCGUAAAGCUCU
This 444-nucleotide ribosomal RNA is filed under the name Staphylococcus pseudintermedius. RNAcentral's name for it is "bacterial SSU rRNA". It matches the Rfam family "Bacterial small subunit ribosomal RNA", at positions 1 to 434 of the family's 1533-position model. Lineage: Bacteria; Bacillati; Bacillota; Bacilli; Caryophanales; Staphylococcaceae. The record is from RNAcentral.